GGCUUCGUAGCUCAGCUGGUAGAGUGCUUGCCGCGUUGAGGCAUGACCUUUCUGUCACUGGCUCGAAUCCAGCCGAAGCCC
RNAcentral lists this transfer RNA (81 nucleotides) under Paragonimus skrjabini miyazakii. RNAcentral describes it as "Paragonimus miyazakii tRNA-Asn". It matches the Rfam family "tRNA". From Rfam's summary of the family: Transfer RNA (tRNA) molecules are approximately 80 nucleotides in length. Their secondary structure includes four short double-helical elements and three loops (D, anti-codon, and T loops). Lineage: Eukaryota; Metazoa; Platyhelminthes; Trematoda; Plagiorchiida; Troglotrematidae. The record is from RNAcentral.